AUUGAACGCUGGCGGCAGGCCUAACACAUGCAAGUCGAGCGGAUGAAGGGAGCUUGCUCCUGGAUUCAGCGGCGGGCGGGUGAGUAAUGCCUAGGAAUCUGCCUGGUAGCGGGGGAUAACGUCCGGAAACGGGCGCUAAUACCGCAUACGUCCUGAGGGAGAAAGGGGGGGAUCUUCGGACCUCACGCUAUCAGAUGAGCCUAGGUCGGAUUAGCUAGUUGGUGGGGUAAAGGCCUACCAAGGCGACGAUCCGUAACUGGUCUGAGAGGAUGAUCAGUCACACUGGAACUGAGACACGGUCCAGACUCCUACGGGAGGCAGCAGUGGGGAAUAUUGGACAAUGGGCGAAAGCCUGAUCCAGCCAUGCCGCGUGUGUGAAGAAGGUCUUCGGAUUGUAAAGCACUUUAAGUUGGGAGGAAGGGCAGUAAGUUAAUACCUUGCUGUUUUGACGUUACCAACAGAAUAAGCACCGGCUAACUUCGUG
RNAcentral lists this ribosomal RNA (484 nucleotides) under uncultured bacterium. RNAcentral describes it as "partial 16S ribosomal RNA". It matches the Rfam family "Bacterial small subunit ribosomal RNA", at positions 30 to 507 of the family's 1533-position model. The record is from RNAcentral.